UGGGGAAUAUUGGACAAUGGGCGAAAGCCUGAUCCAGCCAUGCCGCGUGGAUGAUGAAGGCCCUAGGGUUGUAAAGUCCUUUCGACGGGGAAGAUAAUGACGGUACCCGUAGAAGAAGCCCCGGCUAACUUCGUGCCAGCAGCCGCGGUAAUACGAAGGGGGCUAGCGUUGCUCGGAAUCACUGGGCGUAAAGCGCACGUAGGCGGCUUGUUAAGUCGGGGGUGAAAUCCUGGAGCUCAACUCCAGAACUGCCCUCGAUACUGACGAGCUCGAGUCCGGGAGAGGUGAGUGGAACUGCGAGUGUAGAGGUGAAAUUCGUAGAUAUUCGCAAGAACACCAGUGGCGAAGGCGGCUCACUGGCCCGGUACUGACGCUGAGGUGCGAAAGCGUGGGGAGCAAACA
This 402-nucleotide ribosomal RNA is filed under the name uncultured Rhodoplanes sp. Its description in RNAcentral is "bacterial SSU rRNA". It matches the Rfam family "Bacterial small subunit ribosomal RNA", at positions 355 to 774 of the family's 1533-position model. The record is from RNAcentral. Lineage: Bacteria; Pseudomonadati; Pseudomonadota; Alphaproteobacteria; Hyphomicrobiales; Nitrobacteraceae.